UACGGGGGGAGCAAGCGUUGUUCGGAUUUACUGGGCGUAAAGGGCGCGUAGGCGGUUAGCACAAUUCAGUUGUGAAAUCUCCGGGCUUAACUCGGAAAGGUCAACUGAUACUGUGCGACUAGAGUGCAGAAGGGGCAACUGGAAUUCUCGGUGUAGCGGUGAAAUGCGUAGAUAUCGAGAGGAACACCUGCGGCGAAGGCGGGUUGCUGGGCUGACACUGACGCUGAGGAGCGAAAGCGUGGGGAGCGAACAGG
Molecule: ribosomal RNA, 254 nt
Filed under: uncultured bacterium
Lineage: Bacteria
Description: partial 16S ribosomal RNA
Rfam family: Bacterial small subunit ribosomal RNA
Source: RNAcentral